Molecule: ribosomal RNA, 235 nt
Filed under: uncultured bacterium
Lineage: Bacteria
Description: partial 16S ribosomal RNA
Rfam family: Bacterial small subunit ribosomal RNA
Source: RNAcentral
UGGCGGACGGGUGAGUAAUGUCUGGGAAACUGCCCGAUGGAGGGGGAUAACUACUGGAAACGGUAGCUAAUACCGCAUAACGUCGCAAGACCAAAGAGGGGGACCUUCGGGCCUCUUGCCAUCGGAUGUGCCCAGACGGGAUUAGCUAGUAGGUGGGGUAACGGCUCACCUAGGCGACGAUCCCUAGCUGGUCUGAGAGGAUGACCAGCCACACUGGAACUGAGACACGGUCCAG